This 301-nucleotide ribosomal RNA is filed under the name uncultured bacterium. Its description in RNAcentral is "partial 16S ribosomal RNA". It matches the Rfam family "Bacterial small subunit ribosomal RNA", at positions 509 to 808 of the family's 1533-position model. The record is from RNAcentral.
CAGUAGCCGCGGUAAUGCGUAGGUCCCGAGCGUUGUCCGGAUUUAUUGGGCGUAAAGCGAGCGCAGGCGGUUAGAUAAGUCUGAAGUUAAAGGCUGUGGCUUAACCAUAGUACGCUUUGAAAACUGUUUAACUUGAGUGCAAGAGGGGAGAGUGGAAUUCCAUGUGUAGCGGUGAAAUGCGUAGAUAUAUGGAGGAACACCGGUGGCGAAAGCGGCUCUCUGGCUUGUAACUGACGCUGAGGCUCGAAAGCGUGGGGAGCAAACAGGAUUAGAUACCCGUGUAGUCCCUGUCUCUUAUACA